AAUCAACGCUGGCGGCGUGCCUAACACAUGCAAGUCGAACGCGAAAGGGGGCUUCGGCUCCUAAGUAGAGUGGCGUCCGGGUGAGUAACACGUAGGUAAUCUGCCUUCGGGUGGGGAAUAACCAGUCGAAAGAUUGGCUAAUACCGCAUAAUGCAGCGGCACCUAAUGGUGAUUAGUUGUUAAAGCGGGGGAGUCGUAAGACCUCGCGCCUGAAGAGGAGCCUGCGGCAGAUUAGCUAGUUGGUGAGGUAAUGGCUCACCAAGGCUUCGAUCUGUAGCUGGUCUGAGAGGACGGCCAGCCACACUGGCACUGACACACGGGCCAGACUCC
RNAcentral lists this ribosomal RNA (330 nucleotides) under uncultured bacterium. RNAcentral describes it as "bacterial SSU rRNA". It matches the Rfam family "Bacterial small subunit ribosomal RNA", at positions 32 to 339 of the family's 1533-position model. The record is from RNAcentral.